AGUUCAAGUUCCUUGAUAAUAUUAAUUUCAGUUUUUGUCAGUAUCUUGCUCUCCCUUUUCUCUCUCUCUAUAUAUAUGCCAAAUUCACACAUGUAGGACUUUAUAGCACUCUUCCAUAAGUAGGAAGCUGUGUUAGGGAAGCAGGAGCUAGUUGUCUCUCAAGUUCCUAUCUCUCAAAGGCUUCUUUUUUUUUUUUUUAACAAGUCUAUAUAAUAGCUUUUAGUCACCAAAAUCAUGUCUAUAAGAGACAGGAAAAUUGGUCAUAUGAAGAUUGUAGAUAGGACUUCAAGAAAAGAUUUCAUCAUCUUGCUCAGUGGUAGGGAAUGGGAAAUCCAAGCUAAGUAAAGUGGAGAAUAAACAUGGCCAAAUGAUGCUUGUUGUAAUGGCAGCCAGCACCUCCAACUAUGAGGCACUACAAAUGUCUUCUGGUGAUGUCAUUGUCCUCUUCUUGCUGGCCCUGACCCCUGUGCUGGCCAGUCUUUCUGAGAGUAUGGUUGUAUGAUGGCUGAGCAUCUAAUGUCUAUGACAUUUCACACUGUUGGCUUCUUAAUGUCUGCCCUCGGAAUACCUUUCAAGAAGUGAAUGUGGAGAAAACAGAGACUUUUUCCAAAAGUUGAGGUCCAGUUCCCUACAAAAGACCUUCACCCAAAGGUCCAGUCAAGUUUAUAAUUUUCCAUCACUGGAUUUUAUCAUCGUGGGAAGAAGAUUACUGGUCCAAAGCCAUGCAGAUACCCCACUCUAAUCAGGCUUUGGAUAAGCUGAGGAAAAUUAUCACUCAAAUUGUCCGGGCCGCCCAUCCCUCACCCCCUGAAUGUGACCUGCCCCCUUUUGCAGAUGAACCAGGAGAUCUUGUGUGGGUUCGGAAUAUUCCUGCAGGGGCUCUUGAACCACGGUGGACUGGACCUUACGUGAUGAUAUUGACCACCCCUAGAGCUGUAAAGGUUGCAGGAAAGAAAUGUUGGGUCCACGUGUCUCAACUGAAACCUGUUAAACCAAGAGUAGAGCAAGAAGCAGAGCAGUGGAAGGUCACCAAAACUUCGGAUCCCUUAAAGAUCAAGAUUCAUAGACAUUGAACACUAUGGGAAAGGGAGGAUGGGGUGGAGCUAUGCUUGCACUUGUACUUUUGGGAUUUUCGGAAAUUAGUCUACCCUUCCAAGUAAUUCAAUACUGAUGGGUAAUCAGUAGGACAAGGGAUGGGAAGGAAUUAAUUAGUGACAGACCAACCCGGGAGGAUAAAACCCCCCAAAUCCUUUUUGAUUUGUGUGAUUUAUUUGGGAGUGAAUGGACAUCCCUCAGACCCUUUCAUGCGCAACCCCAUCGGGGACUCUGUAUCUAUCAGAAGCUCCUGUCUAUGCUUGCCCAUCUACAGGGCCACUGUCAUGCAAAAAAGGGGGAGAAUUCUAUUGUGCAGCCUGGGGAUGUGGAACUGUUGCCCCAUGGCAGCAGGAGGACCCCAAUAGAUAUCAUACUGCAAAGGGGGCGAAGUAGGGUCUGGGACAUCCCCCCUCGAUUUCAGGAAUCCCCUUUCCCUGACUAUUAAAAAAACCCAGAGGAUAAAGGCCAGACAUGGGGACUUAGGCUGGAUGUGGGAGGCCAGGACCCAGGAACAGAAUUUACAGAACAAA
Monodelphis domestica (gray short-tailed opossum) is the source of this 1625-nucleotide long non-coding RNA. The record is from Ensembl. Lineage: Eukaryota; Metazoa; Chordata; Mammalia; Didelphimorphia; Didelphidae.